UCCUCAGUAGCUCAGUGGUAGAGCCAUUGACUAUUAAUCAUUUGAUCUGUUUCAAGACCUCCCAGGGGCCA
This 71-nucleotide transfer RNA is filed under the name Coxiellaceae bacterium. RNAcentral describes it as "tRNA-Asn". The record is from RNAcentral. Lineage: Bacteria; Pseudomonadati; Pseudomonadota; Gammaproteobacteria; Legionellales; Coxiellaceae.